This 126-nucleotide small RNA is filed under the name Salmonella enterica. RNAcentral describes it as "RtT sRNA". It matches the Rfam family "RtT RNA". Rfam says of the family: This family represents a bacterial cis-regulatory element known as RtT RNA. The exact function of RtT is unknown although it is thought that it may be involved in changing the cellular response in relation to amino acid starvation. The record is from RNAcentral. RNAcentral also lists the same sequence under 1 other name. Lineage: Bacteria; Pseudomonadati; Pseudomonadota; Gammaproteobacteria; Enterobacterales; Enterobacteriaceae.
UUGCUAUCUGCGAUAUGGAAGAUUCGAACCUGCCGCAGGUUCGGGUCGAACGCAGUGAGACAACGGAGCCGUUUACGGCGACGGCCCGAAGGGCGAGCGAAGCGAGUCAUCCUGCACGACCCCCCA